AGAGUCUGUCUUUCUGUAUUAGGUGGCGCGACGGGUGAGUAAUAUAUAGAUAACGUCGCCUUCUUAGUCGUGGGAUACGCCUAGUUAGGAAACGAUGUAUUAACUACCGGAUACUCCUUCUGAUUAUAAUUUCAGUCGGGAAAGUUUUUCGCUAAGAGAUCGGUCUAUAUUCCAUCAGCUAGUUGGGGAGGUAAUGGCUCACCAAGGCAAUGACGGAUAGCGGGUUUGAGAGGAUGAUCCGCCACACUGGUACUGAGACACGGACCAGACUCC
This 273-nucleotide ribosomal RNA is filed under the name uncultured bacterium. RNAcentral's name for it is "partial 16S ribosomal RNA". The stretch from base 31 to 273 matches the Rfam family "Bacterial small subunit ribosomal RNA", at positions 102 to 339 of the family's 1533-position model. The record is from RNAcentral.